AACGUAGGUCCCGAGCGUUAUCCGGAUUUACUGGGCGUAAAGCGUGUUCAGGCGGCCUGGCAAGUCGGGCAUGAAAUCUCUCGGCUCAACCGGGAGGGGCUGUCCGAUACUGCUGGGCUUGAGGGCAGGAGAGGGUGGUGGAAUUCCGGGUGUAGUGGUGAAAUGCGUAGAGAUCCGGAGGAACACCAGUGGCGAAAGCGGCCACAUGGCAUGCACCUGACGCUCCAACACGAAAGCUAGGGGAGCGAACGGG
RNAcentral lists this ribosomal RNA (253 nucleotides) under uncultured bacterium. RNAcentral's name for it is "partial 16S ribosomal RNA". It matches the Rfam family "Bacterial small subunit ribosomal RNA", at positions 524 to 776 of the family's 1533-position model. The record is from RNAcentral.